UUCGGGGUGAGUGGCAGACGGGUGAGUAACGCGUGGGAACGUGCCCUUCAGUUCGGAAUAACCCAGGGAAACUUGGGCUAAUACCGGAUACGUGCGAGAGCAGAAAGAUUUAUCGCUGAAGGAUCGGCCCGCGUCUGAUUAGCUGGUUGGUGGGGUAAUGGCCCACCAAGGCGACGAUCAGUAGCUGGUCUGAGAGGAUGAUCAGCCACAUUGGGACUGAGACACGGCCCAAACUCCUACGGGAGGCAGCAGUGGGGAAUAUUGGACAAUGGGCGCAAGCCUGAUCCAGCCAUGCCGCGUGAGUGAUGAAGGCCUUAGGGUUGUAAAGCUCUUUCGUCCGGGACGAUAAUGACGGUACCGGAAGAAGAAGCCCCGGCUAACUUCGUGCCAGCAGCCGCGGUAAUACGAAGGGGGCUAGCGUUGUUCGGAAUCACUGGGCGUAAAGGGCGCGUAGGCGGCUUUGUAAGUCGGGGGUGAAAGCCUGUGGCUCAACCACAGAAUUGCCUUCGAUACUGCAUGGCUUGAGACCGGAAGAGGUUAGUGGAACUGCGAGUGUAGAGGUGAAAUUCGUAGAUAUUCGCAAGAACACCAGUGGCGAAGGCGGCUGACUGGUCCGGAUCUGACGCUGAGGCGCGAAAGCGUGGGGAGCAAACAGGAUUAGAUACCCUGGUAGUCCACGCCGUAAACGAUGAAUGCCAGCCGUUGGCGAGCUUGCUCGUCAGUGGCGCAGCUAACGC
RNAcentral lists this ribosomal RNA (737 nucleotides) under Microvirga sp. Its description in RNAcentral is "bacterial SSU rRNA". It matches the Rfam family "Bacterial small subunit ribosomal RNA", at positions 85 to 858 of the family's 1533-position model. Lineage: Bacteria; Pseudomonadati; Pseudomonadota; Alphaproteobacteria; Hyphomicrobiales; Methylobacteriaceae. The record is from RNAcentral.